This 23-nucleotide microRNA is filed under the name Brachionus plicatilis. RNAcentral's name for it is "Bpl-Mir-10-P2_5p (mature (guide))". The record is from RNAcentral. Lineage: Eukaryota; Metazoa; Rotifera; Eurotatoria; Ploima; Brachionidae. RNAcentral also lists the same sequence under 1 other name.
CACCCGUAAUUCCGAACUUGAGU